AACGUUACUUACAGGAUGGACCCACUACAAACUUUCACUAUCUUCUGCGCAGCAGCCUCUUCUUCCCCGAUCCCGACUCCAACUCUCCCUCUCUCCUUCGCCUCGGCGGCACGGCAGCCUGCUUCUUCACCGGGGUGGCUGCUUCUUCACCGGCGCGGCGGCCUGCUUCUUCACCCGCGCGGCGGCCUACUUCUUCGACGACGCGGAGGCCUGCGGCGGACGCGACGCGGCGGCCUUCCGGGCGGUCGGAUCCGCGGACGAACGGAUCUCCGGCGCCUGUCAGAUCUUCGAACGCGGCGCGGUGGCCUACCGGGCGGACGGAUCCACGGAUGAACGGAUCUCCGGCGUCACGGCUUGCUUCUUCACCGGCGCCGCGGCCUGAUUCUUCGACGGCACAGCGGCCUGCCGGUCUUCUCCAGGCGGGCGGACGCGGCAGCCUGCCGGUCUUCUCCAGGCGGGCAGACGCGGCAGCCUGCCGGUCUUCUCCAGAGCUCGGAUUCCAAAUCGGUGAUUACUUGAGCGUUGCAAUCAUGUAGAUGGUGCCCGCACCUGAUGUAAUUGAUGUAAUGUCAAAAGGGCUCUGGUUGCAACAGUAAGGCAUGAUUCUCUGUUAGCACUAGGAACUGGAACCACAAUUGGUCUGUAAUACUGGUAGUUUCAAAUUUACCUAAACACUUCAAACCAGAAUGGUCUGUAAUGUCAAAAGGGAUCGGGUUCCUAUGAAGUCAAACACAGGAAAGUUUGCAUCUUGGAGCCAGACCAGUUGGGCAAAUUUUGUUCGGUACCCAAUUUUGUUUCGCCAUUUCUAAAA
Zea mays is the source of this 811-nucleotide RNA transcript. RefSeq lists it as uncharacterized. The record is from RefSeq and is marked validated. The transcript is spliced from 2 exons. Lineage: Eukaryota; Viridiplantae; Streptophyta; Magnoliopsida; Poales; Poaceae.